AUAAUUAUUAUUAAUUUUUAAAAAAAUAAUUUGUAUUUUUAAUAAUUACUAUGAAAAAAAUUUAAUUAUUAUAGUUAAAUAGUAUUGUGAAAGAAUUAAUUUAGAUAAUAAAAAGUAGAUUUAUUUGAUUGUACCUUGUGUAUCAGGGUUUAUUUAAUUUGUAUUAUAUAUUUAAUGAUCUCGAUUUUAUAAGAGUUAAUAAAAUAUAUUUUUUAUUGUGAAAUAAAUAUUAAGAAUAUUUUAUUAGUAAUGAAAUGUUAUUCGUUUAUAAAUAUAUCUAGUUUUUAAAGAAAAAAAUUAAAUUUUAUAUUUAUUAAUAAUUAAUUAAAUUUUAAAUUAAUUAUUAUUUAAGUAAUUAUAUUUUUUAGGAUAAGCUAAAAAAUAAAAAUUUAUAAAUUAAUUGUAUUUAAAUAAUUUAUAGAAUUAGAAUUAUUUAUUUUUAAUAUGUUAUAAUUAAUUAUUUAGAUUUAUAAUUUUUAUUUAAUUUUAAUUUUUUUAUUUAAAUAAUUUAUUUAAUUAUAUAAUAAUUGUAAUAAUGAUAAAAUUAGUAUAAAGUAUUAUAUGAAAUAUUUGAAUUAUAAAGUUUAAAUAAAGGAAUUCGGCAAAUUAAUUUCUCGCCUGUUUAAUAAAAACAUGUCUUUUCGAAAAUAAUUUAAAGUCUAAUCUGCCCACUGAUUUUUAAAUGGCCGCAGUAUUUUGACUGUGCAAAGGUAGCAUAAUAAUUAGUUUUUUAAUUAAAAGCUAGAAUGAAUGAUUGGACGAGGGAAUAACUGUCUCUGUUUAAUUUUAUUAGAAUUUAAUUUUUAAGUUAAAAAGCUUAAAUAAUAUUAAAAGACGAGAAGACCCUAUAGAGUUUUAUAUUUAAAUAUUAUAAUAAAAUUAGUAUUUAAGAUAUUAUAUUUAUUUAUAUAUUUUAUUGGGGUGAUAGAAAAAUUUAUUAAACUUUUUUUUUAUAAAAACAUAGAUUAAUGAAUAAUUGAUCCAUAGAAAUGAUUAUAAGAUUAAAUUACCUUAGGGAUAACAGCGUAAUUUUUUUUGAGAGUUCUAAUCGAAAAAAAAGUUUGCGACCUCGAUGUUGGAUUAAAAUUAAUUUUUGGUGUAGAAGCUAGGAAUAUUGGGUCUGUUCGACCUUUAAAAUUUUACAUGAUCUGAGUUUAAACCGGCGUGAGCCAGGUUGGUUUCUAUCUUUAAUAAAAGUUUAUAUUUUAGUACGAAAGGACCAAAUAUA
Molecule: ribosomal RNA, 1228 nt
Filed under: Medon apicalis
Lineage: Eukaryota; Metazoa; Arthropoda; Insecta; Coleoptera; Staphylinidae
Description: 16S ribosomal RNA
Rfam family: Archaeal large subunit ribosomal RNA (bases 572-1228)
Source: RNAcentral